This 792-nucleotide ribosomal RNA is filed under the name Triticum aestivum (bread wheat). RNAcentral's name for it is "partial small subunit ribosomal RNA". The record is from RNAcentral. Lineage: Eukaryota; Viridiplantae; Streptophyta; Magnoliopsida; Poales; Poaceae.
CUCGCCUUCUGCCAGAAGUUUGGCUGAUCUCAGUUCUGGCAGUCGAUUGUCCAGCUUCUCCCGGUCCUCCGUAUCGGGACCUCCAUCUCGGUGGGCUCCGGAGCAUCGACGCUGUUCUGGUUUGAUCGCUGGGCCGGGGACACUCCCUUUGCAGCUUGCUUUCCCAGCCUAUUCUCCAUCUCCGCCGAUCCCGUGAUUUCUAUUGAUAGGGCCCUUCUUGACCUAGGGCGCCUUGCUUUCUGACGGCCUUUUGGUCCCUUGGAAUCCGCCGCAUGGCGUGAGUUGCUUGACUGUGUUGCUCUCCAUGAACCGAUGGUGGACGGUGGCCCUGACCUGGUGCGUUGGCGCCUUGAGCCUUCGGGCCAACUCUCCACCAAGUCGUUGUACCUGGCCAUCGCUCCACCUUCCGCCCCCCCCCUAUCGGUGGUGUGGUCCAACCGCCUGCCCUUGAAGAUCCGUAUCUUCAUGUGGCAAUGGAUUCGUGGUCGGGUCCCGUCCGGGGUGGAGGUGCACAAGCGAAAUGGCCCGGGUACUGGCAUCUGCCCGCUCUGUGGGGUCCUCGAAGACCCGAACCACAUUUUCUUCUCCUGCGUGUCCGCUCAGUUCCUCUGGAGCUGCUUUCGCGAAGCGGUCGGUGGAAAUUGGUGUCACACCAACUUCCCAGACUUAUUUGCCGAACUCCAGAUGUCCCCCGUGACUUCUCGCCACAUUAGGUGGCUUGAGAUUGGGGUCCUCGCCUGGACCCUCUGGACGGUCCGCAAUAAGCUUGUGAUUCAGCGCACUCCUCUUUGA